GUUGUGAGAACCCGCUGGAAAAGCCGCGAGUUCUUGGCUACGUGGCGCGGUUGUUGGCCCGGCGCGGCCAGUGCUACUGGGGGCGUCCCUCUCUGGCCCUCCCAGGGACAAGUGACUUGAUGGUAGAUUUUGCCAAGCCCCUCACAUGAUUCUAUGAAACUCAUGGGAGCGAGGAACAGCUGCUGCGCGGAGGUGGCAGUGUGUGUGCUAAAUCCCUUUAGUUCCUGCUCUGCUUUUCCUCCAGAAAGGGAUGAGCGUCUAACAGGGGCCCCGGUCUGAACCCGCCUGCCAAAGUGAGGUUUGCUCACAUCCAACCCCUGACAGCUCCAGGGUGCUGUUACUGCGAGCAGGGCACCGGCCCUCCGGCCCGAAGCAGGGCAGGGACAUGAGGGAGAACGCGCCCUGUCCCUCCCACCUCCUCCGGACUCGGCCCCUGGAGGGGCUGACGCUGGAAGACCUGACAUCGUCGCUUCUGAUGUUCAUGGCUUUUGACCCAUGUUCAGGUUUGAAAUCUCUUACCCAGUUUAAGAACGGGAUGAACUCUCCUCGUUUAAAGGAGAGAAUGAAGAACGCUGAACGCAAAUCUCCGUCCUUGUGCGCAUAAAUCUGAGGCGACAGGAAGAAUGUGGAGGCAAACCUGGCUCUUCUCAGUACUGCUGGAGCCACCCACCGCUCUGCCAUUCAGGAACUCUGCGCGGGUGCCAGGUGCCACGCGCGGUGCUGCCCCCGCACUCCCCUCGAGCUGUGCGAACUGUAGGAAGGAGAAGCUGGUGGGGUGGAGAGCAACAGGGAGAGACCCAUGUUCGGGGUCAGACGGGAGCAGCUGCAGGAAGUUCUGGGGGAGGGGAAGGGGGAUUAUGACCAGAUGGAAAUGAAAGGAAACGGGAGACUGUAUUAAUAAACUAGCAGCUUUAUUGCCCUUCAGGGGCCAUGUCUUCACUUGAGAUGUCGAAUUGCUUGAGGGAGGAAAACCUGUAAGAAAUGAUGGAGAUCAGGGAACAGGCCUUGGGGAUCCUGGAGCGGGGUCACAGUGAGCAUUCGGUCAGCCGGGGAGACAGACGCCACAAAGCUCAGCAGGGGCUCAGUUUCUGGCCUCUCUUCGCCACCACUCAGUCCUUUCAGCUCCUGGGUGACCUGAGCCUCAGUCGCCAGCCACCCUGCUCUUGUGCCAGCGCCACCUCCAGCUCCCUCCUUGGUUUGCUGCUGCAAGCGUCUACGGGCUCGCCGCCGCCCUUGCCACACUCGGUGCCACAAGGCACAGCGCCAGCUCGCUGAGGAGGGCAGGGAUGCCCCCUUCCCUGCCUCACCCUGAGACCAUUCUUGGGCUGCCUCAUGUCCCUUGGGCCCCCGCUCUGCCAGGGCUGCGUGGCUGGGCUGCCCCUCUUCUCCAGGGGCUCCAUGCUUUCCAGUGGUCAGGGGCAGGUCCCCUGGCUGCCCAGGGCUCUGCAUGGCCCAGUCCUGCACCAUCUCUCCAACCUCUAUAACCAUCUCUUCUACCCUGUCUUCCCCACCGUCCCCUGCACAUCCCUGCUGCUCCUCUUUCCCCUCCUCACAGCAGUUUUUCUGUCCAUCUACUUUGAGUCUUUUGCUUGUCCCUCCCUGAGAGGACUCCCCAGUUCCACCUCCUUCUGACCGCGUUCUCUUGGUUGCCUGUUCUAUAUGGCACCCCAGUGCUUCCCUGAAUACCUGCACCAGGGCAGCAGUGAGCUGGGUGAAGGGUGCAAGGGGUAAAGGGAUCGGCGUAGCAGAGAGCAGGGAGCUGGGGGAGCUGGGCUGCAGAAGAGGGAGCAGCCCCCAGUCCCGACCCCGGGAGGAACGGCGCUGGUACUGGAGGCUUCGGCAGUAAUUGGCUGCUGCUCGGCAGCAGUUCUGUAGGCGCCCAGCCACCCGGCUGGUCACAUUGGCUGCGACAUUGUGACUCAGGUCAAAAGGGUCCUGGAGAUUCAGGGGGCCAAGGCGCAGACCCUCCCAGAGAUUAGAAGGCAGGCCCCCUGCCACAGGCAGUGCCUGACCCUCCCGCAGGGACAGCAGGG
This 2033-nucleotide long non-coding RNA is filed under the name Homo sapiens (human). RNAcentral describes it as "LHRI_LNC1832.1". Lineage: Eukaryota; Metazoa; Chordata; Mammalia; Primates; Hominidae. The record is from RNAcentral.